AGUUCAGGUACCACAGAGAGUCCCACAGCCAGUUCAGGCACCACAGAGAGUCCUAAAGCCAGUUCAGGUACCACAGAGAGUCCUACAGCCAGUUCAGGUACCACAGAGAGUCCCACAGCCAGUUCAGGUACUAUAGAGAGUCCUACAGCCAGUUCAGGUACCACAGAGAGUCCUACAGCCAGUUCAGGUACCACAGAGAGUCCCACAGCCAGUUCAGGUACCACAGAGAGUCCUACAGCCAGUUCAGGUACCACAGAGAGUCCUAAAGCCAGUUCAGGUACCACAGAGAGUCCCACAGCCAGUUCAGGUACCACAGAGAGUCCUACAACCAGUUCAGGUACUACAGAGAGUCCUACAGACAGUUCAGGUACCACAGAGAGCCCU
Molecule: long non-coding RNA, 384 nt
Organism: Sander lucioperca (pikeperch)
Lineage: Eukaryota; Metazoa; Chordata; Actinopteri; Perciformes; Percidae
Exons: 3
Source: RefSeq, a predicted model, not a curated record